GCCCGAGUGGCUCAGUCGGUUGAGCGUUCGACUUCGGCGCGGACCGUGAUCUCACGGUUCAUGGGUUCGAGUCCCGCGUCGGGCU
This 85-nucleotide transfer RNA is filed under the name Felis catus (domestic cat). It matches the Rfam family "tRNA". From Rfam's summary of the family: Transfer RNA (tRNA) molecules are approximately 80 nucleotides in length. Their secondary structure includes four short double-helical elements and three loops (D, anti-codon, and T loops). Further hydrogen bonds mediate the characteristic L-shaped molecular structure. tRNAs have two regions of fundamental functional importance: the anti-codon, which is responsible for specific mRNA codon recognition, and the 3' end, to which the tRNAs corresponding amino acid is attached (by aminoacyl-tRNA synthetases). tRNAs cope with the degeneracy of the genetic code in two manners: having more than one tRNA (with a specific anti-codon) for a particular amino acid; and 'wobble' base-pairing, i.e. permitting non-standard base-pairing at the 3rd anti-codon position. Lineage: Eukaryota; Metazoa; Chordata; Mammalia; Carnivora; Felidae. The record is from Rfam by way of RNAcentral.